This 910-nucleotide ribosomal RNA is filed under the name uncultured bacterium. Its description in RNAcentral is "bacterial SSU rRNA". It matches the Rfam family "Bacterial small subunit ribosomal RNA", at positions 33 to 948 of the family's 1533-position model. The record is from RNAcentral.
ACGCUGGCGGCGUGCUUAACACAUGCAAGUCGAACGAUGAAGCCUAGCUUGCUAGGUGGAUUAGUGGCGAACGGGUGAGUAAUACGUGAGUAACCUACCUUUAACCCUGGGAUAAGCCUGGGAAACUGGGUCUAAUACCGGAUACGACCAAUCCCCGCAUGGGGUGUUGGUGGAAAGCGUUAUGUAGUGGUUAUAGAUGGGCUCACGGCCUAUCAGCUUGUUGGUGAGGUAACGGCUCACCAAGGCGACGACGGGUAGCCGGCCUGAGAGGGUGACCGGCCACACUGGGACUGAGACACGGCCCAGACUCCUACGGGAGGCAGCAGUGGGGAAUAUUGCACAAUGGGCGCAAGCCUGAUGCAGCGACGCCGCGUGAGGGAUGACGGCCUUCGGGUUGUAAACCUCUGUUAGCAGGGAAGAAGAGAGAUUGACGGUACCUGCAGAGAAAGCGCCGGCUAACUACGUGCCAGCAGCCGCGGUAAUACGUAGGGCGCGAGCGUUGUCCGGAAUUAUUGGGCGUAAAGAGCUUGUAGGCGGUUUGUCGCGUCUGCUGUGAAAGGCCGGAGCUUAACUCCGUGUAUUGCAGUGGGUACGGGCAGACUAGAGUGCAGUAGGGGAGACUGGAAUUCCUGGUGUAGCGGUGGAAUGCGCAGAUAUCAGGAGGAACACCGAUGGCGAAGGCAGGUCUCUGGGCUGUAACUGACGCUGAGAAGCGAAAGCAUGGGGAGCGAACAGGAUUAGAUACCCUGGUAGUCCAUGCCGUAAACGUUGGGCACUAGGUGUGGGGGACAUUCCACGUUUUCCGCGCCGUAGCUAACGCAUUAAGUGCCCCGCCUGGGGAGUACGGCCGCAAGGCUAAAACUCAAAGAAAUUGACGGGGGCCCGCACAAGCGGCGGAGCAUGCGGAUUA